AGAGUUUGAUCUGGCUCAGGACGAACGCUGGCGGCGUGCUUAACACAUGCAAGUCGAGCGGUAAGGCUCCUUCGGGAGUACACGAGCGGCGAACGGGUGAGUAACACGUGAGCAAUCUGCCCUUCACAUCGGGAUAACCCCCGGAAACGGGAGCUAAUACCGGAUACGACCACUUCAGGCAUCUGAUGGUGGUGGAAAGUUCCGGCGGUGAAGGAUGAGCUCGCGGCCUAUCAGCUAGUUGGUGAGGUAAUGGCUCACCAAGGCUUCGACGGGUAGCCGGCCUGAGAGGGUGACCGGCCACACUGGGACUGAGACACGGCCCAGACUCCUACGGGAGGCAGCAGUGGGGAAUAUUGGACAAUGGGCGAAAGCCUGAUCCAGCAACGCCGCGUGAGGGAUGACGGCCUUCGGGUUGUAAACCUCUUUCAGCGCAGACGAAGCGAAAGUGACGGUAUGCGCAGAAGAAGCACCGGCCAACUACGUGCCAGCAGCCGCGGUA
This 499-nucleotide ribosomal RNA is filed under the name uncultured Actinomycetes bacterium. Its description in RNAcentral is "bacterial SSU rRNA". It matches the Rfam family "Bacterial small subunit ribosomal RNA", at positions 8 to 522 of the family's 1533-position model. The record is from RNAcentral. Lineage: Bacteria; Bacillati; Actinomycetota; Actinomycetes.